AUACGGGAGGCAGCAGUGGGGAAUUUUGGACAAUGGGGGCAACCCUGAUCCAGCCAUUCCGCGUGAGUGAAGAAGGCCUUCGGGUUGUAAAGCUCUUUCGGCAGGAACGAAACGGCGACUACUAAUACUAGUUGCUAAUGACGGUACCUGAAGAAGAAGCACCGGCUAACUACGUGCCAGCAGCCGCGGUAAUACGUAGGGUGCGAGCGUUAAUCGGAAUUACUGGGCGUAAAGCGUGCGCAGGCGGUUUCGUAAGACAGCUGUGAAAUCCCCGGGCUUAACCUGGGAACUGCGGUUGUGACUGCGAGACUAGAGUCAGGCAGAGGGGGGUGGAAUUCCACGUGUAGCAGUGAAAUGCGUAGAGAUGUGGAGGAACACCGAUGGCGAAGGCAGCCCCCUGGGCUAUGACUGACGCUCAUGCACGAAAGCGUGGGGAGCAAACAGGAUUAGAUACCCCUGUAGUCCU
Molecule: ribosomal RNA, 466 nt
Filed under: uncultured bacterium
Lineage: Bacteria
Description: bacterial SSU rRNA
Rfam family: Bacterial small subunit ribosomal RNA
Source: RNAcentral